AUUGAACGCUGGCGGCAUGCCUUACACAUGCAAGUCGAACGGCAGCACGGGUGCUUGCCCCUGGUGGCGAGUGGCGCACGGGUGAGUAAUACAUCGGAACAUGUCCUGUAGUGGGGGAUAGCCCGGCGAAAGCCGGAUUAAUACCGCAUACGAUCCACGGAUGAAAGCGGGGGACCUUCGGGCCUCGCGCUAUAGGGUUGGCCGAUGGCUGAUUAGCUAGUUGGUGGGGUAAAGGCCUACCUAGGCGACGCUCAGUAGCUGGUCUGAGAGGGCGACCAGCCACAGUGGAACUGAGACACGGGCCAGAAUACUAAGGGAGGCAGCAGUAGGGAAUUUUGCACAAGGGGCGAAAGCAUGAUGCAGACAUGCCGCGUGAGGGAAGAAGGUCUUCGGAUCGUAAAGCUCUGUAAGUAGGGAAGAAGAAAAGUGAACGAAAACAGGCAGGGGUUGACGGUACCAAAAGAAGAAGCAACGGCGAACUACGUG
Molecule: ribosomal RNA, 486 nt
Filed under: uncultured bacterium
Lineage: Bacteria
Description: partial 16S ribosomal RNA
Rfam family: Bacterial small subunit ribosomal RNA
Source: RNAcentral